Molecule: ribosomal RNA, 253 nt
Filed under: uncultured bacterium
Lineage: Bacteria
Description: partial 16S ribosomal RNA
Rfam family: Bacterial small subunit ribosomal RNA
Source: RNAcentral
UACGAAGGGGGCUAGCGUUGCUCGGAAUCACUGGGCGUAAAGCGCACGUAGGCGGCUUGUUAAGUCAGGGGUGAAAUCCUGGAGCUCAACUCCAGAACUGCCUUUGAUACUGGCGAGCUUGAGUUCGGGAGAGGUGAGUGGAACUGUGAGUGUAGAGGUGAAAUUCGUAGAUAUUCGCAAGAACACCAGUGGCGAAGGCGGCUCACUGGCCCGAUACUGACGCUGAGGCACGAAAGCGUGGGGAGCAAACAGG